CACCAGUGAACACUGGGUCUCCUGGUAUGCCGCAAGCACUAACAGCUGGCACGCAUGGACAAGAGACAAAGCCAUCCCCAUGUUUACAAACUGCGGGUGAGGACAUAUGCUCCUCU
RNAcentral lists this microRNA precursor (116 nucleotides) under Mus pahari (shrew mouse). RNAcentral's name for it is "miRNA (MGP_PahariEiJ_G0007762.1)". The record is from RNAcentral. Lineage: Eukaryota; Metazoa; Chordata; Mammalia; Rodentia; Muridae.